Molecule: small nucleolar RNA, 80 nt
Filed under: Procavia capensis (Cape rock hyrax)
Lineage: Eukaryota; Metazoa; Chordata; Mammalia; Hyracoidea; Procaviidae
Description: Small nucleolar RNA U105B (ENSPCAG00000019751.1)
Rfam family: Small nucleolar RNA U105B
Source: RNAcentral
UCAGGUGUGGCUGAUGACAGCACUGCUGCUGAGAUGCUGUGAUUGCUCGGUUUCAAAGUAAAUGCCCUGAUGCCCUCUGG